This 1633-nucleotide long non-coding RNA is filed under the name Brachypodium distachyon (stiff brome). Its description in RNAcentral is "long non-coding RNA (BDIS_LNC001944)". Lineage: Eukaryota; Viridiplantae; Streptophyta; Magnoliopsida; Poales; Poaceae. The record is from RNAcentral.
CGUCGUAGUAGUUCGAUGAGGUUAUAUUUGGGAAAGACAUCAAUGGUUUGGAACCGAGUAGGAGCUUUUGUUAAAUUUAAUGGUGUGCCUCUUCUAUUCUGCUAUAUUUGUUUUUCUUUUAGUCUUAGUUAUUACUCGUAAUUUUAGUUAUUACUCGUAAUUUGGCAAAUUACGACUUAAUCUUAGAACUCUUGAUGUGCACGCUGUUUCACGCUUCCGGGAGGAGGAAAUUGGUAUUCACUGGUGAAAAUACAGAAGAGCUCGGUUUAACGGGGGGGUUUUCUUCAACGUUAAGCUGCACAUUAGGUACAGAAGUCAAUUGUACAGUAAUCUACAGAUUGGUUCGAUGUAAGCCACAAAAAUUUCUUCGCGAGAGAAACUGAAAAUCUUCUUCCGGUGUAAGCAAGGGAUCGUGGAGUCUGGCUGUUCCAGAUUGAUCGAAACCACAAGGAACCAGUGCGGAUCAGUCACCGUCAGGGACGAAACACCUACCGCUUCUCUCUUCUGAUCUCGCCUGGAGCUCGGGCCGAAACCCGGAUUACCGGGGAUGGGGAUGGGGUAGGUGUUCGGACCGUCGGAGUUAGGUUUUCCUUUGGGAUGUUCGGCUUAAUGCCGGGGUGUGACGCUAUGCCGUUAGGAGGUAAUCCGGAGCCGCGUGCGAGUAGCAGUCGGCGGCGUUUGGUGCCGGACGUCCCUGUGGUGGCCGGAGGUCGGCUGUUAUGGAGAUGGACGACGUCAACCUCCCAAAUAAACUCGCUGACAUUUCUUUGCAAGGACUCCUCAGUUCCUCCUCUUGAGGUCAGAGUCAUCGUGGUGGUGGCUCUCCGGCGAGAGGAUGGAAGCGGGUUGAAGAUUUUCUCUUGUGGUCGAGCUCAUCAGCAGGGGAUACCGUGGAGGAGCGUCGGCGCCUGCAAUCGGUCGCCGGCUCCUGCCGUUCCUCUGCAUCUUCUGGUCGAAGGGCGACCGAAUCUUUUCCUCCUGACCAGAGUGCCGAUUUGGAGACAGUUCUUCCCCUGGUUGGUGGUCGCAGCAACCAACUGCGACAGCUCGUCGUCCCCGACGACGGUGAGGAGAGCACCGAUUGGGGGUCGAGGACCCAAUUGCGUUUCUUCUUCUCCUUUGAGGGUCCUUUAUGCAAAGUCCAAGGAUUUUGUUGUAUUUCGAAAUCUGUUGUGAGUGUGCUUGUACUUUGUGCUACUAGUAAUGAAUAAAUUCGGGAUCCUACCUUUUAAAAAAAAGGGAACCAGUGCCAACUGGCAAGGGAUGGUAAGUUCUCGGCCAACAGGGCGAGCUUGUCCGAUUAGCUAAGGAUGUUUUGCGUCUUGUCAAAGCCACAGACCGACGGCUCUAUUCUAGCCGUGAGAUUCUUUUGGCCAUCAUAUGAAGAAUCUAGAAGUCUAAAAACGCUAAGGUUUUCAGCCAACGAAUACAUUCCAGCUCGAUGACAGCUUUCGAAGACACAACCUCAUCGCUAUGACAAUGACAAAUAAGAUGCGGUGACAAAUAAAAAUGCAAUGACAACAAAAUAAAAAUAAAAAGGCAAUGACAAAAAAAAGUCACCGGCGUGACGGCGUGAGUAUUUUUCAUUCCUUUUAUAACUUGAGACACUUUAUCCCCGGACCUAUAAACAAUG